UGCAUUCACUACUGUAAGUCACUCUGGAUAAGAGCGUCUGCAAAAUGACUGAAA
Non-coding RNA from Salmo salar (Atlantic salmon), 54 nucleotides. Lineage: Eukaryota; Metazoa; Chordata; Actinopteri; Salmoniformes; Salmonidae. The record is from Rfam.